AUUGAACGCUGGCGGCAGGCCUAACACAUGCAAGUCGAGCGGACGAAGGGAGCUUGCUCCUGGAUUCAGCGGCGGACGGGUGAGUAAUGCCUAGGAAUCUGCCUGGUAGUGGGGGAUAACGUCCGGAAACGGGCGCUAAUACCGCAUACGUCCUGAGGGAGAAAGUGGGGGAUCUUCGGACCUCACGCUAUCAGAUGAGCCUAGGUCGGAUUAGCUAGUUGGUGGGGUAAAGGCCUACCAAGGCGACGAUCCGUAACUGGUCUGAGAGGAUGAUCAGUCACACUGGAACUGAGACACGGUCCAGACUCCUACGGGAGGCAGCAGUGGGGAAUAUUGGACAAUGGGCGAAAGCUUGAUCCAGCCAUGCCGCGUGUGUGAAGAAGGUCUUCGGAUUGUAAAGCACUUUAAGUUGGGAGGAAGGGCAGUAAGUUAAUACCUUGCUGUUUUGACGUUACCAACAGAAUAAGCACCGGCUAACUUCGUG
RNAcentral lists this ribosomal RNA (484 nucleotides) under uncultured bacterium. RNAcentral's name for it is "partial 16S ribosomal RNA". It matches the Rfam family "Bacterial small subunit ribosomal RNA", at positions 30 to 507 of the family's 1533-position model. The record is from RNAcentral.